Molecule: ribosomal RNA, 486 nt
Filed under: uncultured bacterium
Lineage: Bacteria
Description: partial 16S ribosomal RNA
Rfam family: Bacterial small subunit ribosomal RNA
Source: RNAcentral
GAUGAACGCUGGCGGCGUGCCUAAUACAUGCAAGUCGAACGCUGGAGAUCUUGCUUGCUCGCUCGAAGGAGUGGCGAACGGGUGAGUAAUACAUAAGCAACCUACCCACGAAGACUGGGAUAAUCUCUGGAAACGGGGACUAAUACCGGAUAGGUAAUCGGAAGGCAUCUUCUGGUUAUUAAAGGUUAAAAACACUGGUGGAUGGGCUUAUGGCGCAUUAGUUAGUUGGUGAGGUAACGGCCCACCAAGACGAUGAUGCGUAGCCGGCCUGAGAGGGUGAACGGCCACAUUGGGACUGAGACACGGCCCAGACUCCUACGGGAGGCAGCAGUAGGGAAUUUUCGGCAAUGGGGGCAACCCUGACCGAGCAACGCCGCGUGAGUGAAGACGGCCUUCGGGUUGUAAAGCUCUGUUGUAAGGGAAGAACGGUAGAUAGAGAAUAUCUAAGUGACGGUACCUUACCAGAAAGCCACGGCUAACUACGUG